AGUGAACGCUGGCGGUAGGCCUAACACAUGCAAGUCGAACGGCAGCACAGGAGAGCUUGCUCUCUGGGUGGCGAGUGGCGGACGGGUGAGGAAUACAUCGGAAUCUACUUUUUCGUGGGGGAUAACGUAGGGAAACUUACGCUAAUACCGCAUACGACCUACGGGUGAAAGCAGGGAAUCUUCGGACCUUGCGCGAUUGAAUGAGCCGAUGUCGGAUUAGCUAGUUGGCGGGGUAAAGGCCCACCAAGGCGACGAUCCGUAGCUGGCCUGAGAGGAUGAUCAGCCACACUGGAACUGAGACACGGUCCAGACUCCUACGGGAGGCAGCAGUGGGGAAUAUUGGACAAUGGGCGCAAGCCUGAUCCAGUCAUACCGCGUGGGUGAAGAAGGCCUUCGGGUUGUAAAGCCCUUUUGUUGGGAAAGAAAUCCAGCUGGUUAAUACCCGGUUGGGAUGACGGUACCCAAAGAAUAAGCACCGGCUAACUUCGUGCCAGCCGCCGCCGUAA
RNAcentral lists this ribosomal RNA (506 nucleotides) under uncultured bacterium. RNAcentral's name for it is "partial 16S ribosomal RNA". It matches the Rfam family "Bacterial small subunit ribosomal RNA", at positions 29 to 523 of the family's 1533-position model. The record is from RNAcentral.